RNAcentral lists this ribosomal RNA (497 nucleotides) under uncultured bacterium. RNAcentral describes it as "partial 16S ribosomal RNA". It matches the Rfam family "Bacterial small subunit ribosomal RNA", at positions 28 to 507 of the family's 1533-position model. The record is from RNAcentral.
GAUGAACGCUGGCGGCGUGCCUAAUACAUGCAAGUCGAGCGAACAGACGAGGAGCUUGCUCCUUUGAUGUUAGCGGCGGACGGGUGAGUAACACGUAGGUAACCUACCUAUAAAACUGGGAUAACUUCGGGAAACCGGAGCUAAUACCGGAUAAUAUUUCGAACCGCAUGGUUCGAUAGUGAAAGAUGGCUUUGCUAUCACUUAUAGAUGGACCUGCGCCGUAUUAGCUAGUUGGUAAGGUAACGGCUUACCAAGGCAACGAUACGUAGCCGACCUGAGAGGGUGAUCGGCCACACUGGAACUGAGACACGGUCCAGACUCCUACGGGAGGCAGCAGUAGGGAAUCUUCCGCAAUGGGCGAAAGCCUGACGGAGCAACGCCGCGUGAGUGAUGAAGGUCUUCGGAUCGUAAAACUCUGUUAUUAGGGAAGAACAAACGUGUAAGUAACUGUGCACGUCUUGACGGUACCUAAUCAGAAAGCCACGGCUAACUACGUG